RNAcentral lists this ribosomal RNA (253 nucleotides) under uncultured bacterium. RNAcentral describes it as "partial 16S ribosomal RNA". It matches the Rfam family "Bacterial small subunit ribosomal RNA", at positions 524 to 776 of the family's 1533-position model. The record is from RNAcentral.
UACAGAGGGUGCGAGCGUUGUUCGGAAUUAUUGGGCGUAAAGCGCAUGUAGGCGGCAGCGCAAGUCGGGCGUGAAAUCCCACGGCUCAACCGUGGAAGUGCACUCGAAACUGCGCAGCUAGAGUCCUGGAGAGGAAGGUGGAAUGCUUGGUGUAGAGGUGAAAUUCGUAGAUAUCAAGCGGAACACCGGUGGCGAAGGCGGCCUUCUGGACAGUGACUGACGCUGAGAUGCGAAAGCGUGGGGAGCAAACAGG